GCCUCUUUAGCUCAGUCGGUAGAGCAACUCAUUCGUAAUGAGUAGGUCGCAGGUUCGAUUCCCGUAGGAGGCU
RNAcentral lists this transfer RNA (73 nucleotides) under Solitalea koreensis. It matches the Rfam family "tRNA". From Rfam's summary of the family: Transfer RNA (tRNA) molecules are approximately 80 nucleotides in length. The record is from Rfam by way of RNAcentral. Lineage: Bacteria; Pseudomonadati; Bacteroidota; Sphingobacteriia; Sphingobacteriales; Sphingobacteriaceae.